GCUUCCCUUUCCACAGUUCUAUGGAGGUGACCUCAGUCACUCCUAACGGAGCCCAGGUUCUGGAAGGGGAACCCCUGGGUCCCGGCCUGACCGGAUCUUGUAACCAGGCAGCAAGCGCGGCUCGUGAGAGAUUCCAGAAGUCGCCUGAGAACUUGGUGCCAACUGUAGCUCCCGCUUGAAAGGCCAGACCGUGUUAUUAGGAAUGCUGAGAGCCGAGUUGGGCACUCCAGCGUUCCACGGAAGGAUAGACAGUGGCUUCAGAGGAAGACAGCACAACAGAAAUCACCACUGGAUUGUCAAAGAAUAAAACAGACCACUGGAGCUAACACCCAAAUAAACAAAACAGAAGUAAAACUGAUACCUUGUCCUUCCCACAUGCUGAUCCCUAGCGAAGAACAGAUUUGUAAGAGCAUCAGGGAGAAGAGAUUGAAUGCAAACUGGAUUUGAUUGCCAGAUGAAGCUCCAGCCCAAAACAUUCAGGAGAGGGAUAUGGCUCAAGAUGAAAAUGUCCCCAGAUUUUAUUUAUUUGACAGAGAGAGAGAAA
Molecule: long non-coding RNA, 544 nt
Organism: Neogale vison (American mink)
Lineage: Eukaryota; Metazoa; Chordata; Mammalia; Carnivora; Mustelidae
Exons: 4
Source: RefSeq, a predicted model, not a curated record